Molecule: ribosomal RNA, 496 nt
Filed under: uncultured bacterium
Lineage: Bacteria
Description: partial 16S ribosomal RNA
Rfam family: Bacterial small subunit ribosomal RNA
Source: RNAcentral
AUGCACGCUGGCGGCGUGCCUCAUACCUGCAAGUCGCGCGAACGGACGAGAAGCUUGCUUCUCUGAUGUUAGCGGCGGACGGGUGAGUAACACGUGGAUAACCUACCUAUAAGACUGGGAUAACUUCGGGAAACCGUAGCUAAUACCGGAUAAUAUUUUGAACCGCAUGGUUCAAAAGUGAAAGACGGUCUUGCUGUCACUUAUAGAUGGAUCCGCGCUGCAUUAUCUAGUUGGUAAGGUAACGGCUUACCAAGGCAACGAUGCAUAGCCGACCUGAGAGGGUGAUCGGCCACACUGGAACUGAGACACGGUCCAGACUCCUACGGGAGGCAGCAGUAGGGAAUCUUCCGCAAUGGGCGAAAGCCUGACGGAGCAACGCCGCGUGAGUGAUGAAGGUCUUCGGAUCGUAAAACUCUGUUAUUAGGGAAGAACAUAUGUGUAAGUAACUGUGCACAUCUUGACGGUACCUAAUCAGAAAGCCACGGCUAACUACGUG